GAAAGACCAGUUUGAUUUAAGAAUGGAUUAGACUGACCAAAAGUUGGAGACCUAUUAGGAGGCAGUACAGUUGACCAGGGGAGAGAUGUUGAUCUAGAAUGAAGAUGUGGUAGAGAUGGAAAGUGGAAAAAUUUUUGAGAUUGAACUUGGUGAUUUCUUGGAUGUGAAGGUGUAGGAGAAGUGAGAGGUGUCAAGGACAGCUCAGGGUUUUUUUUCACAACCAAGCAAACAAUGGUGCCAUUUAUCAUGAUGAAGGAGUCAGAGAAAAUGAGGUGAAACCACCUCCCAGGUCAGCAAGGAAAACAAGGUGAGUGCUGUAAACAGGAUAUUUUGAGAAUACAGUGCUGUCUAUAUUUUGUAAGAUGUGAAUAGGAUAUUUUGAGAAUAUAGAGGAGGAGUGCUUAAUUCAACUUGGAAGGUGAAAGGAAAUGCUUUCUGACAAAUAGAAUCCUUGAAUGGUAUCCUUAAAAAAGGAACUAUUCUUGCAGAUAGUGGGGAAUUGCAUAUUCUGAGCAGGUGGGCACAGAAACAAGAAAUGGCAUUUUAGGGAACUGAAGAUAGUUGGAUAUUCUGGCUCCACAGACUAGUGUAGUAGGAGCAGAUGUUAUAGAUAAAAGCAGAGAUGAGAUCAUAGAGGAGCUGGCAUAUUAUUCUAAUAUGAAGCAAUUUUUUUCUUGAAGAUGUAAGAUAUUAUUAAGAGGACCUUUAAGCAAGAGAAAAAAUAGUCUUUCAUUGCAAAAAUCUUUUUGAGGUGGGGACUA
RNAcentral lists this long non-coding RNA (761 nucleotides) under Marmota monax (woodchuck). The record is from RNAcentral. Lineage: Eukaryota; Metazoa; Chordata; Mammalia; Rodentia; Sciuridae.